UAUUAUACAAAAAUGACACGUGUCUGUCCAAAAAAAAAAAAAAAAAAAAAGGCAAGUGUGUUAGAUGCUACCUGUCAGCUAUGUUAUUCAGCAAUGUUCAUCAGCAUAUUUUUUUUUAUAGUUGAGCCUGUUUGUAUGUUGUGGUUUAAUAGUAACCAUACUUGUAAUAUUAACUGUAUAGCUUGCACUACUGUUCACUGGGGUCUGUAAGAUUUAUGAAAUAUUAUUGGAAUUACCAGAAAAAGUUUUCUAUUUGAGUAUAUUUUAAAAUGUAAGUUUUUUUUCCUGUGAAUGUAAAUCUGAAAUCUCAGUAGCAAUACUGCAGUCUUCAGUAUUGCAUGAUCCUUCAGAAAUCAUCCUAAUAUUUCAGCUCAGGAACUCUUAUUGUUAUUAUUUAUCAGUGUUGAAAUCAGUUGAGCUGCUUAAUACUGUUAUAGAUUUUAUUCAGGAUUCUAUAAAGAAUAGAAAGUUCAACAAACAACAUUUAUUUGAAAUGGACAUCUUUUGUAUCAUUACAAAUGUCACUUUUAUCAACUUGGUGCAUCUUUGUUAAUACUUCUUGAUUUCUUUUUUUGAUGUCUUUCAAAACCAAAAAUCUUACUGACCCCAAAUUUGGAAAGGUUUCUCCAAAUAUAGCCUACAUGAUCCAUUAUUAUAAAACAGUAAGUACAUAAUCAGCACUUUCCAUUAUUUCUAUAGAUGUCAGCAGCAGAGAAACAGCGAAGAUACCGGGCUCGACGCGAUGCUGAUCCCUCAAGAAGGGCACAAUAUUUAGAAAAGCAAAGAGAGGCCUGGUACAGACAAAUAAGACGCGGAAAGGUGAAACCAGUCGCAGAGUUGAGUGAGAGCGAGAAACAAAGCAAGAGAGACCAGUGGAGAAAAGCCCAACAGAGAAGAAGACAGAGAAAUCGAAUGCUAGUACAAAAAGACAGCAAUGAACUUGAACAGCUACCUACAGAAUCAAGGAGUCGAAUGGCCUCUGCUGUUACAGUGAAGACAGAGAAGCGUCCUUCCCAUGACUCUGAGGAUGGAGACACAGUGGCUAAGAAGGCCAGGUAUGAAAACAACAGAUGUUCGAGUCUUGCUUAGCUGCCGACACAUUCCCAGAGAGAGCCAAAUAUUCUUCAUUGAUAUUAGCUCCUGUUUGCUGACCUGUUCCGAUAAACAUGUGAUCUUUCAAAGACCUGUACUUUCUGAUAAGAUGACUCCGCCAGAUGGUUUUUCCUAUUC
Molecule: long non-coding RNA, 1230 nt
Filed under: Carassius auratus (goldfish)
Lineage: Eukaryota; Metazoa; Chordata; Actinopteri; Cypriniformes; Cyprinidae
Description: lncRNA (ENSCARG00000035403.1)
Source: RNAcentral